GUCCCCUUCGUCAGAGGUCCGUGACACCGCCCUUUCACGGCGGUAACAGGUUCGAAUCCCUAGGGGACGCCA
This 72-nucleotide transfer RNA is filed under the name Klebsiella pneumoniae. RNAcentral describes it as "tRNA-Glu". The record is from RNAcentral. Lineage: Bacteria; Pseudomonadati; Pseudomonadota; Gammaproteobacteria; Enterobacterales; Enterobacteriaceae.